CGAACGCUGGCGGCGUGCUUAACACAUGCAAGUCGAACGGAAAGGCCCCUUUGGGGGUCCUCGAGUGGCGAACGGGUGAGUAACACGUGAGUAACCUGCCCUUGACUUCGGGAUAACUUCAGGAAACUGGGGCUAAUACCGGAUAGGAAUCCUUGCUGCAUGGUGGGGGUUGGAAAGCUUCGGCGGUUUUGGAUGGACUCGCGGCUUAUCAGCUUGUUGGUGGGGUAGUGGCUUACCAAGGCUUUGACGGGUAGCCGGCCUGAGAGGGCGACCGGCCACAUUGGGACUGAGAUACGGCCCAGACUCCUACGGGAGGCAGCGGUGGGGAAUAUUGCACAAUGGGCGGAAGCCUGAUGCAGCAACGCCGCGUGCGGGAUGACGGCCUUCGGGUUGUAAACCGCUUUCAGCAGGGGCGAAGCUUGUGGUGACGGUACCUGCAGAAGAAGCACCGGCUAACUACGUG
This 463-nucleotide ribosomal RNA is filed under the name uncultured bacterium. Its description in RNAcentral is "partial 16S ribosomal RNA". It matches the Rfam family "Bacterial small subunit ribosomal RNA", at positions 30 to 507 of the family's 1533-position model. The record is from RNAcentral.